Molecule: transfer RNA, 74 nt
Filed under: Lysobacterales bacterium
Lineage: Bacteria; Pseudomonadati; Pseudomonadota; Gammaproteobacteria; Lysobacterales
Also listed under: 1 other name
Description: tRNA-Arg
Rfam family: tRNA
About the family: Transfer RNA (tRNA) molecules are approximately 80 nucleotides in length.
Source: RNAcentral
CGGCCUGUAGCUCAAUUGGAUAGAGCAGCCGCCUUCUAAGCGGCAGGUUCCCAGUUCAAGCCUGGGCAGGCCGA